AACGAACGCUGGCGGCAUGCCUAACACAUGCAAGUCGAACGAGACCUUCGGGUCUAGUGGCGCACGGGUGCGUAACGCGUGGGAACCUGCCCUUAGGUUCGGAAUAACUCCCCGAAAGGGGUGCUAAUACCGGUUAAUGUCUUCCGACCAAAGAUUUAUCGCCUUUUGAUGGGCCCGCGUUGGAUUAGCUAGUUGGUAGGGUAAAAGCCUACCAAGGCGACGAUCCAUAGCUGGUCUGAGAGGAUGAUCAGCCACACUGGGACUGAGACACGGCCCAGACUCCUACGGGAAGCAGCAGUGGGGAAUAUUGGACAAUGGGCGAAAGCCUGAUCCAGCAAUGCCGCGUGAGUGAUGAAGGCCUUAGGGUUGUAAAGCUCUUUUACCCGGGAUGAUAAUGACAGUACCGGGAGAAUAAGCUCCGGCUAACUCCGUG
Molecule: ribosomal RNA, 433 nt
Filed under: uncultured bacterium
Lineage: Bacteria
Description: partial 16S ribosomal RNA
Rfam family: Bacterial small subunit ribosomal RNA
Source: RNAcentral